Molecule: non-coding RNA, 6842 nt
Organism: Zonotrichia albicollis (white-throated sparrow)
Lineage: Eukaryota; Metazoa; Chordata; Aves; Passeriformes; Passerellidae
Source: RefSeq, a predicted model, not a curated record
UGGGAACGACUGUAGAUCUCCCCAAAUUCAAAGAAACAGAUGUUUGGGCUGAUUAUGGAUGGGGGGAGGGGAGGAGGGAUCCCUGCAGCUGCAACUCAAAGAAAUAUAUUGAUAAAAUAUUUCAGUGGUAAUAAAUACGCAGAGAUCAGCUCGACCUUGCGAGGUCUUUAUUUUAAUUUUUUUCCCCAUAUACAAAAAUCUUUAUCAAACCUCUAUUCUAUGGCUUCAAUAAACAGAACCCAUUACCUCACGGCAGCUUUUGUUGGCCUGUAUACAAGCGAGAACAAAAUGGUUAUUCAGGAGAACGCUUUCGAUUUUUAUUGUGUGUAGUAUGCACAAAGAGCAGUGUUAUUGUAUUAAAAAGAACCAUCUGUAGCAGAAACAAUGGCAUCAAAUUAUCUUUGAAUACCCACUGCAAAAAUAUAAAGCUUUUUUAUUAUUCUUCUGCUGUACGGUGGGGGACAGAGAAGUGACUUUUUUGUUGUUGGACUGCAGUUAAGAGCUAGGGCUAGGACUUGGAGGAUGUGUAGGCAAACGGAAAGAGAGCUGGGGGAAGAAAAACCGAAAUGGAUUCAUUCUCUGUCCUGGAUGGAGGAGGAGAGGAGAAGAGAAGGGGACGUGCGAGCUUCCUUCAACUGCCUCUGUCCGGUGAAAAGUGCUCAGACCCCCGGGGCUGCGCCGGACUCCAGAGCCCGCGCGGACUUUCGCGUUGAGCUGCCAAUCAAACCGCUCGCAGCCACCACCCUGCUCUGGCACCGACAUGGUCUGUGUGAUGUCCUCCCAUGAGAGGCGACUCAGCAGCUCGGUCCCUCUGCCAUCUCAGCACUGCCACUGGAGAAGCCCAGGAGGAGCAGAGCAGGGGCUGAGCAGCAAUUUGAAUAUCCAUAUUUAACUCUUCAAACAACAGAAGAUACUUCAGAACCAUGUUAAGAAGGAUAAGCUUGGAGUGCCCAGUCACCGUGGUAACUGCCAGAAAAAUUCUCCUGAAGUUUGAAGAGGUCAGCUAACGGGGUCAACAACUCUGGCCUCUCUCUGAGCCGGGCCUGGCAGGCUCCAUCCUGCGGUUGGGGUGUUAACGCAGGCUGAGCCCUGGGAGGUGGACCAUUCCAGAUCUGAUAUAAAUUUUUUGAGUCAGUUCACGGCCUGGACUCUCCAGGUGGCCUCCAAAAUCGAUUGUGACCUUGUGACCCUGUCUAACGGAGGCAUAGCAUCCAACCUAAGUAAGGAUUUAGCCAGGAACGACAGCUUUCCACUGAGUGUUAUUGGGGACAGUACAAACAGUUUGGGAAGCAAGGAGGUAGGUAUGAGGAGUAGAGGUCAUUAAAAGCACAUUAAAAAACAAUUUUAAAAAUCCUUUUUAGUUGAAAGUUUUUAUUUGCAGUAACCAUUCCUUAAAUAAACCCUUCUGGCAACUAUUUUUUCCUUCCAUAAUAACAUUGCAUCAAGUGCUUCAGUGCAUUAAUACACAAAAAAUUGGCACUUUGCAUAUUCCAAACCAAACUAAUAUUUUAUCUACCUCUGGAUUUUGAACUUGCAAAUGAAGCUGGCUGACAUGUGUUAAACUAGAUGCCUGUGAAGUGUUUUUUUUCUAAAUAUCAUACAAACUAGGAGACUGCUUAUUAAAGUAGGCUAUUUACUUUAGGUAGCAAUUUCUGUAAUAUGUGCAUUCUUUUUAGAUUCAAAAGUCUCUUAAUCCCUGUAAUCUAUUUUUAAACUGGUAAAUUAGGUAACAUUAAGAAUAGUGUGAAAUGAAAGUGUGAGAGUUUCACAGAGUUUUCCUGUACUGGUCUGCAGUACAAGUAGAAAAGCUACAAAACUGAUUAUGUAUUUUUUGUAGGAAAAAAAUUGAUCAUGCUAUGAUGGUAUUCAUAGAGAACAUGAUUUUUUUUUUUCCUUUAAGAUUUUGAGCAACGAACUAUGUGGGGGAGGGAGGGGCUGUUGCAAAGUUCUUAUUUUGUUAUUGAAUUUAGAAACUUGCCUCUCUGAGCAAGUGGAUUGGCUCUUGUGUUUUAUCCCCCUGCUACAGAACCUCGUGCAUUGCUCACACGAGCAAUUGGUAGCUGUCAGAUGAGUAAGUGGAAAUACACGGAGGAGCAAAGUCCAGUUUCCAGCUGGAAAGUGCUAUCAGACUUUAAGUGACUUCAAAACUGCUCUGAAGGAAGAAAACAGCUUUAAUAUUUGUUCUCAGUCUUAGAAAAAUUGUGCAGUGAGACCCUUGCCCAAAUACUUCUUGCACUUGGCAGGGCCUGGCUCCGACAUUUUUCUUCCCAGUCCCUUCCCAGCUGAGCAGUUCCCCCGAGGUUGGAGGAGCUGCAGAGACAGGGCCAUAAAAUACAGUUCAGGAAGAGCAUCUGGGCAGUGAUGAACAUUACUGUACUGCUUAGAAGUCCCACAGGUUGCAACAGCAAGAAUAUCUAACUUUUACUUGCACUAACGCCUUAUUCUGCAGAAAGAGCCCCAAAAUCCAUGGAUUUUUGGCCAACGUCCUGACUUUUAUAGAGUCAUCAUAAUCUGCUCCGGUGGGAGCAGGUUUGAAGACCAGGAGUAAGAAAUGGGGCUGAAUUUUGCUAUAAAAUAAUUUAAGGCCUGCACCUGCACAUUCAGAUAUUUAUGGUGGCACUAUUUAAUUCUACCCGGAAUACUAAUAAUAGUUGGCUUUUGGUGGUCAUUUUUAAUAGACCUCUGCUGAAAAGAACUUUUUCCCAUUAGGAAGCAUGUUGAUUCAGGGCUUCUGUGAUUGAGCUUGGAAAGAUGAAACUUACAGCCCUUGGUGAGAAUCAGAAUAUUUGCUUGUUUUUCAGAAAAUUAAAAAUAGGACUGUAAAUAGCUGGAAGGUGAAUCUUCAAUAUUUUCAAAAGCAUCUGUGUAUUUUUCAACUUUUUUUUCAAAAUAUGUACUUACAUCUGUUUUGUAUUGCCAUCACUCAAGGACCAAGUUCUACUGACAGGAGAUAAUUUCUGAAAAUAGAUAGAACUAUUCCACUGGAACUUUUGGACCAGAAUUGCCCCAGAUUUGCUCUAAACAAUGAGGAAUUGUUAGCAGAGGCAACAACAAGGAGAUCUCAGGAACUUUAACUUGCUUCAAAUUCUUUAGCGUUGACUUCUGUAGAUCCCAUUGAAUAUAUAAUCAGCUGCAAAUCUACAAAUGUGACCCAUAAAAGGUUCUGGUCUUGCAUAUUUUGUACCUCUUCACAUUGUAUGGUUCAUGCACACCCAUUUGGAGUGCCUAGAGGUGCCUGUUAGCAGCAGCUGCAGUUGACAAUUCUUCUUCCCCAUCAGUGCAGUGAAGUCCUCACACAGCUUUCCAAAUUUGACUUUUUUGGAAACUCUCUGAAGUGCAGGCUCUUUGAGUUUCACCAGAGGGAUGUAUGUGAAUGGUCUUGGUGCUGUGUUAGAGAUAACCAGCAGAGCCACCAAAGCCUGUGGUGGUUCCCAGCCCCUGUCCUAUGGACACUGAUAACCCCUGAGGCCUUUGAAAGUUUGCUGUGGCUAUUACUAUUUAAUACAAUGGAAUUGUAUUAAAUAGUAGUGCCCAUAGUCUUCAAUUUAAAUUUGUAUUAGUGGAGUGAGUGGCAGUUUGCAAGAGAAUCUAAGGUCCGAGGGUAAUCUGCUACCUGAAAGCUCAGAGGAUGUUUGCUGUACAGGAAUAUGUCUCAGGUCAUGGGCCAUGAGAUGGUGGGAGGUAUCUUGUUAAUGUUUUCAAAUUAAACAUAUGCCCAGUUAAAUGAAUGUUUUUUAUUACUCAUGCAAACAAACAAAAACACAAAAUCCCCACUUCAAAAUAAAACAAAGAAAAUCAAAGUGAUAAAUGGACACUGAAGCUUCAUCCUAGUUUGUGUUUGCUUGUGUCCAAAGCCUGCACUGCCAGUGCUCUGCAGAGACAGAGAAGCUCAGCUUUAGAGAGCAGCACGUUGCCAUGGCCUGGAUCAGGGCUGGCAGAGGUCUCUGGGCUCUGGAGGAAGCAGGGAGGGCAAAUGAGCACUGGGACUUACAGGUGUGCUGGCAAAAGGUCCUAAACAAGUGCUGAGCUUCCGUCUCCUUUUUCUUCUUCCUCUCUGCCUUGAGAGUGUGUGGCUGGUGUCCAGAGGAAAAGUCAAACUAAUUCUGAUGCUUUUUCCUAUUCUGGGUGGACUAAUUCAGAGAAAGCACUUAAGGCAGCCUUUGUGGAAGGGUUACAAUAUAGGUUGAUACUUUAGGAACUAUAGGAAGUUCUUAAUCCUUCCCUGCCUACGGGGCUGUCAUUUAUAGACCCGCUAUUGUCUCAUCUUUUAUAAGGAUGUUUCCUUACAUUAAGGUUCCAAGAGCAACCAGACUUUGCCAUUGUUCCCAGCUAUUUCUGUUUGUGGCUUAAUGCACAUCUAGUAUUCUGUUUAUGCUUUCACUGCUCUCCUACACAGCAGACUGUACCUACACACCAGCUUAGGUGACAUCACUCUCAAAGCAUUCAUUUCUGGGUUUCUUUUUUUUUCUCCUGAUUUGUCUGUGCAUCUUGAUUUUGCAUUAGCCUAGUUUGCUAUAGAUAACAUGAUAAAGUGCAUGGAACUUUAUGCAUUUAGUUGUCAUUUUAUCUUCGUUUCUUGUUUGAUAAACUUGCUUAUAAAAAAAAGCUUUUAGGUGUGUUUUUUAUAACAACAGAACUCCUCUUACUAUGUAAGAAGAAUGAAUUCAGCCAUGAACAGAAAAAAUUGAAGCAUAGAUAAUUUUGAAUGUAUAAAAUUUAGCUCGAUGUUAAUGGUGGUUUAAUUACUGGAUUUUUUUUUUAGUAUGGCUAUUCAUAAAGACAUCCAUUGUUUUCUGGUUUGAUUUAUGUCCAGAUUAGCCCCCUUUCGAACCUCAUUUCUGGCAAUCUCAGCAGCACGUGAGGGCCUGGCAGCUUGUGCAGACAUUGCCAUCUUCCCUCACUGCUCCUUCUGAGCUGCUCCACCAGCCCCACAGCCUGCCAUUCCUCAGGAGCCCUUAAUGGUGCCUUUCCUCCAUCAUCUGCUCUGUGGCCUUCCAGAACCAGGUCCUUUUGUCAAAGUUUUCAAACCAAUUUAGAAACAGAUACUGAAAUAAAGGCCGGUGACGUGGUGGUGGGGUGACAUGGUGUCAUUGCCUUUCUGUCCUGCAUGGGAAAAUUACAGACUUUCUCCACAGCUCAGCUCUAUGGCCAUGCAAUGAGAAUGAUAAAAACAACAUCUUUGCAAAGUGCUUAUAUAUCUGAAAAAUUUGAUGCAAAUUAAAAGCUACCUAGGUUUUGUCAAACCUAACUCUACCCAGCACUUCACUUUCUCCACUGCCCUCUCAGCUGCUCAAGAUUUGACAAUAAACCUUUUAGAGUUUUUGCAUCAUGCCUUGCAAAAUGUGACAUUUGGGCUUUUAAACUACCCUUGUGUUAUAACAUACACAGCAGAACUAAUAUAUCCUUUUUCCACAUGCAUCCUCACUUUGCUGAAAAAAAAAUCCCAGCGCUGAGCAAACUACAAAGAGCCUGAUGAUGCAGGGUGAGGAGUGCCCAGCAACCUCUGUGUGCUCCAGGCACAGCUUUAUCCCAGCCCUCAGUGGGACAGUGCACAUGGAAAUGUGGGAUCUGUUCCUUCCCAAGCCUCAGUGAUGCCUUGCUUUGCAGUUCCUCUUGCUGGUUCUCAUAUCCUGGCAAGAUGCUACAAACCCCACGUGACAAAGAUCAGAAGGAAAUACUUAUUUGAAGAAAGCUCUGUCAUUAGCUGUGCUGAGAUACUUCAAGAGGAAAAAAUGCUAUAAAUUGAAACAACAAAUUGUGAGCAUCUGUGUGCACAUCCCUGUGCGUCCUGGUACCACUGCUGGCACACGGCUCUCAGGAGGAGUUCAGUGAUGGUGACAAAAUUCAAUUUCAAUGUCCCUCUGUUUCUGAGUGGGGUCUGAUGUUUGUUCCCAGAGCUGCUGGUGCCCAUCCCAGCACAAGGCGCUGCCCGCAGGGAUGUGAGGCUGGAAUUGCCGGAGCUCUGCCCCCACCGCUGACUCGGAGCAGCGAUGCUGGCGGCGGAGGGGCAGCGUGGGGCCGGCCGGGGUGCCGGGACGGGAGCAGCGCUGGCCCUGGGGCUCUGCGGGCGCUGGGCACCCCCGGGGGCUCUGCAGGGUUAACCCGUUCUGGGCCGUGCAUCCACACACACUGUCUGCUCACUGCGGAGAUCCAGCCCAUCCCCCGGCCCGUGUGAAACUGCACAAAGCCUCUCCUAAACGUGAAUUUAAAACGCUUUCAAAUUGACAACCUCCUUUUAAAUAAAAACAUUUAUGUUAAGCGAAAGGCAUAUUUGCCUCUACAAAUAAAUGGAAUUAUGGUUCUAAGACGUGACUUAAUCCUGAAGUUCUUAGACUGCACAGUAAGUAGAAAAGAAAGAGGAUUGUUUGGAGGAGCAGGGGUUAGCAGGAUCAGGCUCCAUCUUACAUCUUCCUGCACAUUUUCCUUCUGGCAUUCAAUAUACCUUUCUCAGAACUACCUCUGUUUAUAACAAUGCCAAAGUAACUUCAUGUCUAUUAUCUAAUUGAAAAUAACGAGGCACGGUACACAGUGUGCCCAUCCAGCUUUCCUGCUGGAAAAAUUUGAGGAUUGCUAAACAAACAAAAGAUGCUCUUCCUCCAAAUGUAUUCUUAUGCUAAAGUCAUGUCCUUUUGAAAUUAAUUUCAGGAUUUCCCUCAAAUGUGUCGUAAUUCUUUGUUCUUUUUCUACACUGUUUUCUUUGUGAAAAUGUAUUUUAAAAUCUGCAUGGAGGUUUCAAAGGAUCCGAGAGAAGAUGUUUACAGAGUAAUAUUGCUAUUUGCAUUUGUUGCUUUUCUGAAAAUGGAAUUUCUAAUCAGACAACAUUAAAAUACUUUUGUAUUAUU